Molecule: unclassified non-coding RNA, 871 nt
Filed under: Leishmania donovani
Lineage: Eukaryota; Euglenozoa; Kinetoplastea; Trypanosomatida; Trypanosomatidae
Description: gene:unknown
Source: RNAcentral
AAAUAUCCCUUCUCCACCUCGACGCCGUAUUCCGUCCCUUUCUCCUCCACGCGCACACGCACGCAGAAAGAGAGACGCACACCAGCACAAGAGCGCCCAUCGCCCCGUUCAUGAUUCAAUCCGAGAGGCAGCCGAGGAGUUUUGCCAGGUUUCUUCCGUCUUGGUAAUUUUCUCUGUCGGCGUGGCCUACUCUUCUUAGUCCCCUCCCCAACUCAGCCCCGCCCCCUCGUCGUCAUUCUGAGUUCGUUCUUAUAAAACCCGCCAUACAGCUCUUCCCGUUGUUUCUCGACUAGCGCGCGCGCUCGCGCGUACGCAUGUCUUUGAACUGUUGUUGUCUCGUGUUCAUUGAUUUUGCGUUCAUCUUGACCCCCCCCCCCCGCCCGCCCACCCUCUCUCUCCUCUCCGCUUCCGCAAGCACCUCCUCCUCAUUGAAUCUCUCACAGACACACACACACACACACACAUUUUUCUCUCUGUGUGCUCCUGUUUUGCAUUUACUCCGGCUCCUAUUGAGGAAUUCGGGCGGCAACUAAGUGGCGGCGUCUGUGUUUCUUAGUUGCUUUUCCAUUCUCCUCUUCUAACGCUCUCCUGCCCAUUUCCUCCGUUGUUGCCGUCUUCUCCGACGUGCCCGAGCGAAGCCUUUCGAGAGAGGAGGCCUAGUAAAGGUACCUGUGCGCUAGCGCGUGAGCCUGUUGUACGCGUGCACCGCUUUUCCCUCGUGCUUCCCCGAGAGUGGUUCCGACACACUUGCGGUGGUGUCGACCGUCUACUGGACUGCCCAAUGUGACGCAGCGUAGCAGCUUCACCAGCUCCCACCCCUGCGCUUCCUCUUUACCACCUUGCCCAUAUUGUUACCCCGCGCACCCACAAG